GGGGAUAUAGCUCAGUUGGUAGAGUGCUUGCCUUGCUUUCAUUGGCUUCUGGGUUCAAACCCCAGCACCACCA
This 73-nucleotide transfer RNA is filed under the name Ictidomys tridecemlineatus (thirteen-lined ground squirrel). Its description in RNAcentral is "Spermophilus tridecemlineatus (thirteen-lined ground squirrel) tRNA". It matches the Rfam family "tRNA". From Rfam's summary of the family: Transfer RNA (tRNA) molecules are approximately 80 nucleotides in length. Their secondary structure includes four short double-helical elements and three loops (D, anti-codon, and T loops). Further hydrogen bonds mediate the characteristic L-shaped molecular structure. tRNAs have two regions of fundamental functional importance: the anti-codon, which is responsible for specific mRNA codon recognition, and the 3' end, to which the tRNAs corresponding amino acid is attached (by aminoacyl-tRNA synthetases). tRNAs cope with the degeneracy of the genetic code in two manners: having more than one tRNA (with a specific anti-codon) for a particular amino acid; and 'wobble' base-pairing, i.e. permitting non-standard base-pairing at the 3rd anti-codon position. The record is from Rfam by way of RNAcentral. Lineage: Eukaryota; Metazoa; Chordata; Mammalia; Rodentia; Sciuridae.